AUGGCGAGCUUUUCAUUCAUUCUCCCUGAAGACGGACAUUGUUCUUUUAAGGACAACGACGUUAACUCAGGGUGGAUCUCAAUGGUGACCCAACUCAACACCCUUGAAGGUCCAGAGUCAAAGAGUCAGAACAUCCGUCUGAGCUUUGCAGAGGAACUUGGUGACAAGUACCACUACGCGAAUGCCAUCGACAGCUCUCUGCUCUGGACUGUUGGGUACACCCCCUACAUUCCCCCAGCUCUGAAAGGAAGAAGCUUCCCCUCUGUCGAGAGCUUCUUCCUGGAUGAGUGGGAGCCACUGACACUCCUGCAGACUCCUCAGGUUCUGUCCACCAGUGUUUCCAUCGAGGAAGACAACCUGAUCCAGUCUGCUGCAGGCCUAGUGUCUCAGGUUCUGUCCACCAGUGUUGCCAUCGUGGAGAAUGACCUGAUCCAGUCUGCUGCAGGCGUAGUGUCUCAGGUUCUGUCCACCAGUGUUCCCAUCGUGGAGAAUGACCUGAUCCAGUCUGCUGCAGGCGUAGUGUCUCAGGUUCUGUCCACCAGUGUUCCCAUCGUGGAGAAUGACAUGAUCCAGUCUGCUGCAGGCCUAGUGUCUCAGGUUCUGUCCACCAGUGUUACCAUCAUGGAGAAUGACCUGAUCCAGUCUGCUGCAGGCGUAGUGUCUCAGGUUCUGUCCACCAGUGUUGCCAUCGUGGAGAAUGACCUGAUCCAGUCUGCUGCAGGCCUUGGGUCCCUGGUCCUGUCCACCAGUGUUACAAUCAUGGAAAAUGACCUGAUCCAGUCUGCUGCAGGCGUAGUGUCUCAGGUUCUGUCCACCAGUGUUCCCAUCGUGGAGAAUGACCUGAUCCAGUCUGCUGCAGGUCUAGUGUCUCAGGUUCUGUCCACCAGUGUUGCCAUCGUGGAGAAUGACCUGAUUCAGUCUGCUGCAGGCCUAGUGUCUCAGGUUCUGUCCACCAGUGUUACCAUCAUGGAGAAUGACCUGAUCCAGUCUGCUGCAGGUCUAGUGUCUCAGGUUCUGUCCACCAGUGUUGCCAUCGUGGAGAGUGACCUGAUCCAGUCUGCUGCAGGCCUAGUGUCUCAGGUUCUGUCUACCAGUGUUGCCAUUGUGGAAAACGACCUGAUCCAGUCUGCUACAAACCUAAUGUCUCAGGAUGAUGACUCCACCCUGAGAGCCUCCAACCAACCUGAGGUCCUUGUGGCUGAUGUCUCAACCAAGAGAAGUAGACUAGUCAUCACUAUUUCUAUGGUUUCAACCAAGAGUUGCCUUGUUGCUCUACAUGAAGAUGAUGCUAGUGCUACAAGCCUGGAGCAAUCUGCUGAGAAAAUGUCUACCUCUACUACUGAUGUCAACGACAUCUCAACUGCUGCUUCCAAGAAGAAAAAGAGAUGUGGAUUAUUCUCAUCUCUCUGGAGAGCUCUCAGGGGGAAGAACAAGAAGCCUGCUAAAGUGGCUUCCAAGAAAGAGGAUGAAAUCAACAAGGAUGUGAGCAGCCUCACCUGCCACCACAACACUACACAAGGAGAUCACUGAUGCAGGCACCCACAAUGGUGUUCCUAUUUUUUAUCACACUUUGUCUUCAUCCCCAAUCCCUUUCUUCAGUAAACCUUUUGUCAUUGCAUUCGAUUGCGUUUGUCUUUCAUUGGGAUCACUGUCAUUGAAAAGACAAGGGGUUUCGUAGUUCAACUACUUGUCAAUAAAUCACUGGUUAACCUUCAAACUCCGAAUUGAGACAACCGAGGCAAAGACGUCAGCAGGAGGGCAACUGUGACCUUCAGAAAUGUGCAAUUAGGUGAAAAGUUAGUAACCAUGUAACAACGCUAAUACCAUCAGUUCUGUCCACAUUUCCCAGAGAAUAACAGCCGUUCUCGCUCAGCGCCUCAAGAUGGAGUAGUAAGCACAAUUAUAAUGGAUCCCCUCAUAAUGAUGCUUUUAUCAGCUGUUGGAUGUGGGGAUAUUCCCAUAUUAGGAAUUCCUGUGGGAGAUUUAUACCGUGAAUAAGUAUGAUAAUUGGACAUUGUACAUGGAUUGUCUAUGGCUACUGAGUAUUUCCAUCAUGUGAUUGUAGCCUAGGUUAUGAUUCUGUUAUGAUGAGGUUCACAUUGCAGUUGUCUCCUUAGACAUGACUGACUCGUGGUAUUGAAAUCUAUUACAUUACGUUGAUGCAUCAUGAAGUAACCCAUGUGUGUGUAGGAGUUUAAGCACAGGCAUAAUGUAGACGAGGUGUUCAUGUAAGUGUGUUUUCCGUUUGUUCUUUGUCAGAUUAAGAUAUAUAACAGAUGGUGUGACAUGGCUAUAGUUUACGUUUUCCCUCAUUUUUCAAACCACCACCAACAAAUUCCAACCCUGUUCUCAAUUACAUUCACUAUUCCAUUCCAUUUCUGAGGGCUCUUCUACAAAACAAUGUUAUGAGAAUGAAACCUGAAACCAAUAGCCAUCUCCAUUAUUUAGGUUACAGCGAGAGGCUAAAAAUAUCCAGUUCUGACUGGUAGUAGUCACGACCUAAAUUAUGACAAAAUUCUGCACCACUGGUAGUUGACGUCAAUACAGUACAGUCACUUCCUCGGUGACGUAAUCGAACGGACUCGAUCGGUAGCAUUGCCAUCUGCUGGAUGGACUCCGACUCGAGCCCCGUAACAUUACGUCACUGGAAAGGAACCGAUGCCAGUGUUUGGGUCUAGGUUUGAAUACAAAGAGAUGAAUAGCCGACCAUUAGAACUGAUACUCGACAGUAAGAACCUGAGCUACAAUUAAUACGCAUUUAGGCUACAGUAAAUUCUUAAAUAAGUACUCAAUAUGCUUCAGGCGUUUUCUGGAGAGUUUUGGGGAAUCUUGUGACUAAGAAUGUUUCAAAUGAAUUGAGUGUGCAUCAUUGGUAAUGAGAAAAUAGUUGCACAGUCAGCAAAACAGCGUAGGGGUUUUGACUUCAGUUCAUUGCCGUUUAUGUAAAUUCUGCUGUAUAGACUAGCCAGUAUCAUGGUCGUCGUGCAUUUUUUGUUUAAUAUAUUUCAAAAGACAAGGCCUCGACAAUGAAGUGAAUGGAUAGAUAGCAAAAACGAGCAUUAGCUGAUUUAAAACUGUUGCAAUUAUGGUACUUAUGAGUUGUGCUUAAAUGUCUCUGUCCAUGGUGCUGAAAUGUUUUUUCUUUAUCGUGACUGAGAAACGCAUUGCAGGAUGUCCAUUGUACUGAUCCUAUUUUAUUGACAAUCAAAGAUGUUAUUCGAUUCUACUGAUACACACUGUAUGUUCAUCCAGCUAUAUGUUAUGUUGGAUAUUGUUUGAAAUAUAGCUGGUAAGAGUGAUUGUCAUUUGCAUCUCUGACGCAACUUUCAGGAAUCAAACUGAACGUUGAUAAAGUCUAGGACGUUGAACUCUCAGACAGAACCCAGUUUAGUCUUUCCUGUGGAUCAAUAUUUUACGGUCUUAGCGGUCAAUGAAUGUUGGAGCUAUAACGACGGGAACGCGCACUAUUUUUGGUUCAUGUUUGCAGGUGUGUGUGUGUGUGUGUGUGUGGUGCCAGCCAGGGUGGCGUGACUCCUGAAAUAAGUGAGGUUGGGAAAAAG
Salmo trutta (river trout) is the source of this 3560-nucleotide long non-coding RNA. The record is from Ensembl. Lineage: Eukaryota; Metazoa; Chordata; Actinopteri; Salmoniformes; Salmonidae.